RNAcentral lists this ribosomal RNA (329 nucleotides) under uncultured Hyphomicrobiales bacterium. RNAcentral describes it as "bacterial SSU rRNA". It matches the Rfam family "Bacterial small subunit ribosomal RNA", at positions 116 to 449 of the family's 1533-position model. Lineage: Bacteria; Pseudomonadati; Pseudomonadota; Alphaproteobacteria; Hyphomicrobiales. The record is from RNAcentral.
UGUGGGAAUUUACCUCAAACUAUGGGAUAACACAGAGAAAUUUGUGCUAAUACCAUAUGUGUCCAUUAAAAGGGAUUUUAAUGGGGAAAGAUUUAUCGGUUUGAGAUAAGCCCGCGUUGGAUUAGCUAGUUGGUAGGGUAAUGGCCUACCAAGGCGACGAUCCAUAGCUGGUCUGAGAGGAUGAUCAGCCACACUGGGACUGAGACACGGCCCAGACUCCUACGGGAGGCAGCAGUGGGGAAUAUUGGACAAUGGGCGCAAGCCUGAUCCAGCCAUGCCGCGUGAGUGAUGACGGCCUUAGGGUUGUAAAGCUCUUCACCGGAGAAGAU